Molecule: non-coding RNA, 75 nt
Organism: Myotis lucifugus (little brown bat)
Lineage: Eukaryota; Metazoa; Chordata; Mammalia; Chiroptera; Vespertilionidae
Source: Rfam
GGCAGUUCUUGGGUGACACACUCUGGAAUUGGGCUCCCUCCUCUCUGGUACUGGGUUCGUCACCCGAGAACUGCA